Molecule: ribosomal RNA, 253 nt
Filed under: uncultured bacterium
Lineage: Bacteria
Description: partial 16S ribosomal RNA
Rfam family: Bacterial small subunit ribosomal RNA
Source: RNAcentral
ACGAAGGUCCCGAGCGUUGUUCGGAAUCACUGGGCGUAAAGGGAGCGUAGGCGGCGUGGUAAGUCAGAUGUGAAAUCCCGGGGCUCAACCCCGGAACUGCAUCCGAUACUGCCGUGCUUGAGGGUUGGAGAGGUAGCUGGAAUUAUCGGUGUAGCAGUGAAAUGCGUGGAUAUCGAUAGGAACACUCGUGGCGAAGGCGAGCUACUGGACAACAUCUGACGCUGAGGCUCGAAGGCUAGGGGAGCAAAAGGGA